Molecule: long non-coding RNA, 1429 nt
Filed under: Daphnia pulex (common water flea)
Lineage: Eukaryota; Metazoa; Arthropoda; Branchiopoda; Diplostraca; Daphniidae
Description: uncharacterized LOC124208516, transcript variant X3
Source: RNAcentral
AGCUCACUUGUUAAUUUUUCGAUAAUUGCUUUAUUUAUCUACUUAAUCUAUUUCACGGAGAUGACGAAUAUUGGUUUAUCUUCCGUCUUGAGUGUCUGACUUUUAUAGUGUCCAUGGAUGAUAAUAAGGGCUGUCACUAGGUGGCCAAAUAUUUCAGUGUGUUUAGGGAUUGAACUAUUUAGCUCUAGUGUGUAGAGGGAUGAAAGGGGGCGCACUUAAGGUUGGGACGACAUUCCCGCAUCGCAUUCCGUCCGUUUUAUUCAACCGUGACGCUGGCAGAUAUUGCCUUAUGGAGUUUGAGCUUCUUCAUGUGUUGCGUGCACGUUAUCACCUACUCGUCACGAAGAUGUGUCUUAAAGUGUUCUACCAUAUUGAAAGACAAAUGAGAAGCAAAGAGGAAAUCAGGAAAGGAUUUCUUGGUCAGUUUGGUGUUUGAGCUGUUAAUGGUGUUGUCUGGUGUGGAUCUUGCAGUCAUUUUCCAUCUGAGAGAUUCCCUGAAAUGGAACUCGUGCAAACUUGCAGUUGGACAUCAUACUUCUACGUCUUAUGGUUGUGUUGAUGUAGUGUUGCACUAAUGUGCAAGAGUCGAUGCAGUCUGAUGAAUAUCGAAAAUUAUUAUUUCGGCUGCAUUUUGUCGAUCUGUCGUCUCUUGCUACCUGUACGCACGCUGAGUUCAAUCGUUCGCCACCACUCUUCAGACUAGAUCCAUCGGUGAAACGGAGGAGAGGCUGCUGAGAUUCAAGACUGAUAAAUCAUUUAGAUUAAGACAAAUUACAAAAGCAUAUCUAUUCUCCCUGUUCCCUAAGUAAAUAGUGUGUCAGCUGUUAGUUACUCGUGUGAAAACUAGGAGUGUUCUUAUCGAAAGGAAAGUUGCAGAGUCUUUUUCGCAUAAAAUGGCGGUGACCAUUGGGGAAUUUUUUUUGUAUCUCGUGCAGAAACACUUCAGAGCUAGUAAAGUAAUUUUGUUGAUAAGUUUCCCUGCAAUAAUGCAACAGGUUUUAUUAGUUGAUGUUUAGGUCAGAGACAGAGAUCCCUUUGCUUAACUGUUGCAGAAAUUGAGAACAUAACAAAGUCUGAGCUUCAUGUAUGCCUUAUAUGGCUGCCGUAUCAUUAAUAUGGUUUUGUUGCAGUCAGUUGGUGAAAGGUGUGAUCGGGCGUCAAGUUGAGCUGCAGCUGUUGCAUGCAGUUUAUCAAGUUGGUGUUAUCUGAAUUCUGAAGUGUCACUGCAGGAAGACUUCUUGAAUUGUUGAAUCGUUUGCUGCCGUUCCAUGGACUUGAUCCAUUGGUAACACUGACUGAGGAGAAUUUGCUGAAAUUCAAGACUCGUCAAUAAAUUAUGUAGAUGCUGUAGAUAAAUUACAAGUACAUAUCUGGGCUCCGUUCUUCAGUGGCCCAGUUUCCCUAAAUAACCACUAAGGCACUAACCAAC